UCAAGUUAUUAAGGGUGCAGGGCGGAUGCCUUGGCACUAGGAGCCGAUGAAGGACGUGAUAAGCUGCGAUAAGCUUCGGGGAGUUGCACGUAAACUUUGAUCCGAAGAUUUCCGAAUGAGGAAACUCACUUAGAGUAAUGUCUAAGUAUCAUUAAGUGAAUACAUAGCUUAAUGAGGGGAACUCAGGGAACUGAAACAUCUAAGUACCUGAAGGAAGAGAAAGAAAUUCGAUUCCGUAAGUAGCGGCGAGCGAACGCGGAUUAGCCCAAACCAAUAAAGUUUUCUUUAUUGGGGUUGCGGACAUAUCAUAACGAAGAGGUAUCGUAAUUGAAGAGGUUUGGAAAGACCCACCACAGAAGGUAAUAGUCCUGUAUGUUAAACGAGAAGACUUCAGAUAUGAUCCAGAGUACCACGGGACACGUGAAACCCUGUGGGAAGCAGGAGGGACCACCCUCCAAGGCUAAAUACUACCUAGUGACCGAUAGCGUAUAGUACCGUGAGGGAAAGGUGAAAAGAACCCCGGGAGGGGAGUGAAAUAGAACCUGAAACCCUGCACUUACAAGCUGUGGAAGCACAUUUCUUGUGUGACCGCGUACUUUUUGUAGAACGGGCCAACGAGUUACGUUAAGUAGCAAGGUUAAGCACUUAAGGUGUGGAGCCGUAGCGAAAGCGAGUUUUAACUGAGCGUUCAGUUACUUGACGUAGACCCGAAACCGGGCGACCUACCCAUGAGCAGGAUGAAGCGAAAGUAAAAUUUCGUGGAGGUCCGAACCCACGAGCGUUGAAAAGCUCGGGGAUGACUUGUGGGUAGCGGUGAAAUUCCAAUCGAGCCCGGAGAUAGCUGGUUCUCCCCGAAAUAGCUUUAGGGCUAGCCUCAAGGUGAGAGAUACGGAGGUAGAGCACUGAAUGUCCUAGGGGGUAUUGCACCUACCGAAGACUAUCAAACUCCGAAUGCCGUCAUCUUAUACUUGGGAGUCAGACUGUGGGUGAUAAGAUUCAUAGUCGAAAGGGCAACAGCCCAGAUCGUCAGCUAAGGUCCCUAAAUGUAAGUUAAGUGGUAAAGGAUGUGGGAUUGCAAAGACAACCAGGAUGUUGGCUUAGAAGCAGCCACUCAUUCAAAGAGUGCGUAAUAGCUCACUGGUCGAGUGAUCCUGCGCCGAAGAUUUCCGGGGCUAAAACUUACUACCGAAGCUACGGCAUCAGUAAUGAUGGGUAGGGGAGCUUCCCAUACGGGUUGAAGCAUGACCGUAAGGACAUGUGGACAGUAUGGGAGUGAGAAUGUUGGCAUGAGUAGCGAGAUGUGGGUGAGAAUCCCACAGGCCGUAAACCCAAGGUUUCCAGGGGAAGGUUCGUCCGCCCUGGGUUAGUCGGGACCUAAGCUGAGGCCGAAAGGCGUAGGUGAUGGACAACAGGUUGAUAUUCCUGUACUACCGAUAACCGUUUGAGAGAAGGGAUGACACAGUAGGAUAAGCUAAGCACACUGUUGGUUAUGUGUGCCCAAGCAUUGAGGCAGUCAAAGUAGGCAAAUCCGCUUUGAUAAUGCUGGGAUGUGAUGGGGAGCGAAAUUUAGUAGCGAAGUAGCUGAUUUCACACUGUCAAGAAAAGUCUCUAUCGAGGUUAAAGGUACCCGUACCGCAAACCGACACAGGUGGGUGAGGAGAGUAUCCUAAGGCCAGCGAGAGAACUGUUGUUAAGGAACUCGGCAAAAUGACCCCGUAACUUAGGGAUAAGGGGUGCCACCAUCAGGUGGCCGCAGAGAAUAGGCCCAAGCGACUGUUUACCAAAAACAUAGGUUUCUGCUAAGUCGCAAGACGAUGUAUAGGAGCUGACGCCUGCCCGGUGCUGGAAGGUUAAGGGGAUCUGUUAGAGCAAUCGAAGCAGUGAACUUAAGCCCCAGUAAACGGCGGCCGUAACUAUAACGGUCCUAAGGUAGCGAAAUUCCUUGUCGGGUAAGUUCCGACCCGCACGAAAGGCGUAACGAUUUGGGCACUGUCUCAACAACAGACUCGGUGAAAUUGUAAUUCCGGUGAAGAUGCCGGAUACCUGCGACAGGACGGAAAGACCCCAUGGAGCUUUACUGUAGCUUGACAUUGGGUNUUGGUACUACAUGUACAGGAUAGGUGGGAGGCUUUGAAACCAGGACGCCAGUUUUGGCGGAGCCAUCCUUGGGAUACCACCCUUGUAGUACUGGGACUCUAACCAUAGGCCAUGAAUCUGGUCUUGGGACACUGUCAGGUGGGCAGUUUGACUGGGGCGGUCGCCUCCCAAAAGGUAACGGAGGCGCUCAAAGGUUCUCUCAGUACGGUCGGAAAUCGUACGUAGAGUGUAAAGGCAAAAGAGAGCUUGAUUGCAAGACAUACAGGUCGAGCAAGGAUGAAAAUCGGACUUAGUGAUCCGGUGGUUCUGCGUGGAAGGGCCAUCGCUCAACGGAUAAAAGCUACCCUGGGGAUAACAGGCUUAUCUCCCCCAAGAGUCCACAUCGACGGGGAGGUUUGGCACCUCGAUGUCGGCUCAUCACAUCCUGGGGCUGUAGUAGGUCCCAAGGGUUGGGCUGUUCGCCCAUUAAAGUGGUACGCGAGCUGGGUUCAGAACGUCGUGAGACAGUUCGGUCCCUAUCCGUCGCAGGCGUAGGAAAUUUGAGAAGACCUGUCCUUAGUACGAGAGGACCGGGAUGGACGUACCUCUGGUGUACCAGUUGUUCUGCCAAGGGCAUGGCUGGGUAGCUAUGUACGGAAUGGAUAAGCGCUGAAAGCAUCUAAGCGCGAAGCCAACUUCAAGAUAAGAUUUCCCACCGCAAGGGUAAGACCCCAGAAAGACUAUCUGGUUGAUAGGUCGAAGGUGUAAGUGCAGCAAUGUAUUUAGCUUAUCGAUACUAAUAGGUCGAGGACUUGACCAA
This 2896-nucleotide ribosomal RNA is filed under the name Clostridioides difficile. Its description in RNAcentral is "23S ribosomal RNA". It matches the Rfam family "Bacterial large subunit ribosomal RNA". The record is from RNAcentral. Lineage: Bacteria; Bacillati; Bacillota; Clostridia; Peptostreptococcales; Peptostreptococcaceae.